This 3613-nucleotide long non-coding RNA is filed under the name Olea europaea subsp. europaea. Lineage: Eukaryota; Viridiplantae; Streptophyta; Magnoliopsida; Lamiales; Oleaceae. The record is from RNAcentral.
GUUUCUGAUUCUGUAAUUGAUAAUCAGGUAGUUAUUAUUGCAGCUGCCAAAUUAUUGAAUGCAAUUUCCUUUCUGUCCCUUCAACAGAGAAAACGAAAAAGAAAGAAAAGCUCUUAUUGCAUUAGAUAACGGGAUACAAUUUAAAUAGGCACUCAUCUUUAAAGAAAUGUAUAAAGUGGAGUUAUUAUCCCAUUUAACCAUUCUGACUAGUCACUUUUUUCCCCAUUCUGAUUAAUCACUUGAUCUCUUGAAGUUCCAUGCCAUGGCAAAGAGGAAGCUUAUAUUGAUUUGUCAGUCUGGUGGUGAGUUUAUGACCAAUGAUGACGGGACCUUAUCAUACAAAGGAGGAGAAGCAAAUGCUGUAAAUAUCAAUGACGAAACUCAGUUUGAUGAUCUGAAAUUGAAAUUGGCUGAAAUGUGUAAUUUGAAUUAUGGGACAAUCUCAAUCAAGUAUUUCCUCCCGGGAAACAGUAGAAAUCUCAUCACACUAAGAAAUGACAAGGAUCUACAAAGGAUGAUUGAUUUUCAUGGGAUUUCAGUGACUGCUGAUAUCUUUGUUAAUGGAAAAGAAGGAUUUGACCGAGAUGCUCUCAAAGUACAGGAAAGCAGGUAUAUGUUUGAGUUGCACCUUGUUAUAUUAACUGCUUCCUUAAAUGCGUUUCCUGUUUUCAAUAUGAAUUUUCUGCUGUAAUUCCAGCUUGUUGGCAAUCCAUAUGCACCACCUUUGAGCAGUGAUAAAUAAUGUUGACAAAUCACUAGAUUGCCAACACUUUUUGAGAAAGUGAGACUCAUCAGCUCUAUAGAUUCAUGAUGUGGUGAUUGGUUGCUGACACCUGGCUGGCUAUUAUAUUUAGCUCCUUUUUGGUCCCCAUAUUUUAGAAACCCCCCCCCCCCCCCCCUCAUUUUCAACCGGAUCCACUACUUUUAUCAACUUUUCAACCAAACAUUUAAUCUACUUUUAUCAAAAUCUAAAAUCUACUAAAAAACUGAUUUUUAGCAUAGCCAAACAGGGGCUUACUAACAUGCUCGUAUAAAUUCAUCAAUAAAACUUGGCAGGGGGAGCGACAUAAAACUGGCUGAGACUGUGAGCCCUGUUUCACCCUCAGCUAAUGCUAAACGGGUUGUCAAUGAUGUGCAACCGUGUGCUUCCCGUGCUAAUGCUGCACCUAAUGAUGCUGUCUCUCCUGUUUAUGCUCCUGGUUCUACUGUAGCAGCUGGUGCAACUGCUAAGAGAUCGGGACCCAGUAGAGCAUCAACUGCCUCAAUCCCCUCUUCUGGCCCUGGUGCUGACUAUGAUUCGGCCUAUGCACCGCUUGUCGAGCUUGCUGUUCAUGCAGCUGCUCAGACCUCAACUGGCCUUCCUACAGGUGGUAGCCCAGCAGAUACUGUUAAGAAGCGAAGGCGCAUGGCCUUACAAAAAAUUGGUUCCUGUGGACCCACUACUUCAGUCGCUGAUAAUGGCAGGAAAAGAAGAUCUAGGAAGAAAAAUAUCUCUGCAGUCAAUGACAACUUGGAGAAGCAUCAAAGAUAUAAUUCUCUGGGGAAUGAUGAUCAUGAAAUCCUAUCUGUUCGUGAUGAUGACUUGCCAGAAAACCUAGUUUUGUCAUGGAAAGAUUAUAUUACGGGGGUGGGCCAGGAGUUCAAAAGUGUGAAAGAGUUCCGGGAGGCACUGCAGAAGUAUGCUAUUGCGCACCGCUUUGUAUAUAAGUUGAAAAAGAAUGAUACUAUUCGUGCUCGUGGCAUAUGCGCUGCAGAAGGAUGUUCUUGGAAGAUUCAUGCAUCUAGGGAUUCUACAUCUCAGUCAUUUCAGAUUAAAAAGUUCAACAAUACACAUACAUGUGGUGGGGAAUCUUGGAAGAAUGAAAACCCAGCAAAGAAGUGGUUGGUUGGUGUUAUAAAGAACAAGUUACGUGAGUCCCCACAUCACAAAACCAAGGAAAUUGCUAACAGCAUCUCGCAGGACUUUGGAAUUCAAUUAACAUAUACACAAGUGCGGCGUCGAAUUAGGGAUGCCAGAGAGCAACUUCAGGGUUCAUAUAAGAAGUCUUACAAUUGGUUGCCUUGGUUCUGCAAGACAGUGGUGGAAACAAAUCCUGGUAGUAUUGUCAAGCUUGUCACUAAUUAUGAGAAAAGACUUCGGUGCCUUUUUGUGUCAUUUUAUUCUUCUAUACAUGGCUUCCACGGUGGUUGCCGUCCCAUUCUUUUUCUUGAAUCUACAUCUCUACGAUCGAAGUACCGAGAAAUUUUGUUGACUGCAACUGCAGUCGAUGCAGACGAUGGUUUCUUCCCGGUUGCAUUUGCUAUAGUUGAUGUUGAAACCAAGGAUAACUGGCUAUUGUUUCUGAAGCAACUAAAAUCUGCAAUGUCAACUUCACAAUCCAUAACAUUUGUCUCAGAUAGAGAGAAGGGGUUAAAGCAGUCUAUUCUUGAGGUAUUCGAGAAUUCUUGCCACGGUUAUUCCAUUUUCCACCUUAUGAAAAGUUUCAAGAGGAACAUGAAAGGGCCAUUCCAUGGGGAUGGAAGAUGUGUCCUACCUGAAAGUUUUCUAGCCGCUGCCCAUGCUGUCCGACUUAAUGAUUUCAAAAUGUUCACAGAGCAAAUUAGACAGAUCUCGUCACAUGUUUAUGAUUGGGUUAUUCAAAUUGAACCCGAGAACUGGACUCGUUUGUCAUUCAAAGGUGAGCAGUAUAAUCAUAUCACACAGAAUGUUGCAGAAUCAUACACUAAGCUGAUGGAGGAAAAACGGGAAUUAACUAUAAUGCAGAAGAUAGAAGCCCUGAGGAGCAUGAUGAAUGAGUUGAUAAAUAAUCGUCAAAUGGAAUCGAGUAAAUGGACGACAAAACUCACUCCCUCGAAAGAGAAAUUGAUGCAAGAAGCUGUUCUUAAAGCAUUUGGACUGAGAGUCUUUGCCUCGUCAGAUACUCUGUUUGAGGUCCAUGAUAAUUCUACUCAUGUUGUGAAUAUUGAAAAGCGGGAAUGUACAUGCCUAGAGUGGAAAGAAAGUGGGCUUCCAUGCUACCAUGCUAUUGCUGCCUUAAACUGUGCAGGGAAGAAUGUUUAUAACUACUGUUCAAGAUAUUUUACCACUGAGACUUACCAAUCAACGUAUUCGAAGUCUAUAAAUCCUAUUCCUGGCAUUGAUAAGCCCAUACGAAAAGAAAAUGGCGAUUCAGAUACCAUGGAAGUGCUUCCUCCUUGUCCCCCUCGUAUGCCAAAUCAACACAAGGAAGAAGAGAGCAAUUCAGAGAAUCCGGAUAAGAAGACUGUCACUUGUACCAGGUGCAAGCAGCUCGGGCAUAACAAAGCUUCAUGCAAAGAAGAUAUAUAGCUUCCAUGUUUGGCCUUCUUUGUGUAUACACCGUAUAUAAGCCUGGUUACUCCUAAGCUAUAAGCGGUUUGGCCGAGUUGGUGCAGUUCUAGUAGGUCAUUGAAGACGCUAGUUUUAAACAGAUACUUGCUUUAGUCUUAUGAUUGAAGCACUUUUAUUUAGUUUGCAGAAUAUAUUAUGUUAAUUGAGUUGUCUUUUUAUUAGUAUGCUCUUGUUUGGUAAAGUUUCUUUUAGAUUUUAAGCAAUCAAAAUAUUUUUUUAACCACAUAUAUUAUAGAUUCACAA